Molecule: ribosomal RNA, 253 nt
Filed under: uncultured bacterium
Lineage: Bacteria
Description: partial 16S ribosomal RNA
Rfam family: Bacterial small subunit ribosomal RNA
Source: RNAcentral
UACGAAGGGGGCUAGCGUUGCUCGGAAUUACUGGGCGUAAAGGGCGCGUAGGCGGCUCUGUUAGUCAGGCGUGAAAGUCCUGGGCUCAACCUGGGAACUGCGCUUGAUACAGCAGGGCUAGAGGAUGGAAGAGGGUCGCGGAAUUCCCAGUGUAGAGGUGAAAUUCGUAGAUAUUGGGAAGAACACCGGUGGCGAAGGCGGCGACCUGGUCCAUUACUGACGCUGAGGCGCGACAGCGUGGGGAGCAAACAGG